Molecule: ribosomal RNA, 717 nt
Filed under: Triticum aestivum (bread wheat)
Lineage: Eukaryota; Viridiplantae; Streptophyta; Magnoliopsida; Poales; Poaceae
Description: partial small subunit ribosomal RNA
Source: RNAcentral
AUGCCGUCGCGAUCACCGUCGUCGUCGUCUUGGGCCGCACCCCCCGGCCUUGCCAUGGCCACCGAGGCACGCGAGGAGGCCACUGCUGGCGGUUGCCUCCCCGCGGACCAGUCCUGCUUUGCGCUCUCCGCGGGCCCACCCUACCCUUCGCGUCGUGCCGCUGCCGCCGCGCGAGCCUGCUGCACGACCACCUCCUACAUCGUCGUUCUGAGCAUCAGCUUCGGCUCCCUCCUCGCCAUACUGCUCAUCCUGUGUGUGAUCCGGUGGUACCUCGUGCACCGCUCCGCGCGCCAGCAGGAGGAGGAGGCCACGGCUGCGGCCACCGAUGCGGCCCCGGGAAUGGCCAAGAAGCGGUCGGCGGGGCUGGACGCGGACGCCAUCGCAGCGCUGCCCGAGUUUGUGUACCGGAAGGACGGCGGCGUCGGCGAGGAGGAGGAGGACGCCGCAGAAUGCGCCGUGUGCUUGGCCGUGAUGGUCGACGGGGAGGCGGCGCGGCGGCUGCCCAGGUGCAUGCACGUGUUCCACCGGAGCUGCGUUGACGUCUGGUUGAGGGAGCACUCGACAUGCCCGGUCUGCCGAGCUGAGGUGGUCAUCAGGCCGGCCGGAGUAGAGUGCGCCGGGAAGGAACAUGUGGGCAGCACGUCACGGGCUGUCACGUCACCGCCGCCGCGGGAGCAGGUUCUGGACGACGGGGAGAGGGACCUGGAGGCGCAGUAG